Molecule: ribosomal RNA, 253 nt
Filed under: uncultured bacterium
Lineage: Bacteria
Description: partial 16S ribosomal RNA
Rfam family: Bacterial small subunit ribosomal RNA
Source: RNAcentral
UACGUAGGGUGCGAGCGUUGCUCGGAAUUACUGGGCGUAAAGCGUGCGUAGGCGGUUCUCCAAGUCCGGUGUGAAAGCCCCGGGCUCAACCUGGGAAUGGCAGUGGAAACUAGGGGACUGGAAUCUGGCAGAGGGGGGUGGAAUGCCGCGUGUAGCAGUGAAAUGCGUAGAGAUGCGGCGGAACACCGAUGGCGAAGGCAGCCCCCUGGGCUGAGACUGACGCUCAGGCACGAAAGCGUGGGGAGCAAACAGG